AUUAGACUACCCGCGUACGUCCCAGCCGUAAACUAUGCUCGCUAGGUGUCAGGCAUGGCGCGACCGUGUCUGGUGCCGCAGGGAAGCCGUGAAGCGAGCCACCUGGGAAGUACGGCCGCAAGGCUGAAACUUAAAGGAAUUGGCGGGGGAGCACAACAACGGGUGGAGCCUGCGGUUUAAUUGGACUCAACGCCGGACAACUCACCGGGGACGACAGCAAUAUGUAGGCCAGGCUGAAGACCUUGCCUGAAUCGCUG
This 257-nucleotide ribosomal RNA is filed under the name uncultured archaeon. RNAcentral's name for it is "partial 16S ribosomal RNA". It matches the Rfam family "Archaeal small subunit ribosomal RNA", at positions 728 to 982 of the family's 1478-position model. The record is from RNAcentral.